GAGAGGAUGUUACGGAUCGAGAGGAGUAGGAGGGGGAAGACAGUGGCCUGCGAGUUCAGCGGCUGUCGAACUGUCACUAAGGGUUCCCACUGCCUCGAAGGGGGCUCGAGGGAGAAUUCCUUCAACAACAGGGAUUUAAUAACGGAACCAACCGGUGAGUGCGUUCCGCUCGAGAAUUUUGGAGUAGUUGAACGGGGCGACACCGGUCAAGGGGGUAGAGUUGCCGUCAUAAGCUGUGGCGGGUUUCUUGACGUCGUCGG
Molecule: long non-coding RNA, 260 nt
Filed under: Elaeis guineensis (African oil palm)
Lineage: Eukaryota; Viridiplantae; Streptophyta; Magnoliopsida; Arecales; Arecaceae
Description: long non-coding RNA (EGUI_LNC040154)
Source: RNAcentral